RNAcentral lists this long non-coding RNA (805 nucleotides) under Pongo abelii (Sumatran orangutan). RNAcentral describes it as "lincRNA". Lineage: Eukaryota; Metazoa; Chordata; Mammalia; Primates; Hominidae. The record is from RNAcentral.
GAAGAGAGUGAGCAGGAUGCUGUGAGAGAGGGUUACUAUUCCAAGUGGCACCUGGGCCAGCAGCAUUGGCAUCACCUGGGACUUGUGAGAAAUCCAGCAUCUCAGGCUCUACUGCAGGUCUCCUAAAUCAGAAUCUACAGUUUAACAAGAUCCCCAGGAGAUGUGUGUGUAAAGUCAAGAACCUGUUGAGAGGAGCACCUAGCAUAAGACCUGGCUUGUGACAGCUGCUCCUGGCAUGCCCUUCUCCACUAAGCCAACUUGUUAAACCUCUUCACGGCUGAGAUCAUGCUACUUUCUUCUUCAGAUCUGCCACCCUGUAGCUGGGUGACUUUUAGACAAGUGAUCUGACCUCUCUGAGCCAGAGUUUCUACCUUGUAAAAAAAAAAAUCCCUUCCUGCAUGGUCAGCUGUCAUGAAAAGGACACAUGGUGAUGGGCAGACCAAGACAAGGCUUAGCUUCAUGUUUGACUCCUAGGAGCACCCAGUUCAUAGACGCUGCUGCUGUUACUAAUCUGUUUCCAUCUUCCCCUGGGAAUCCUGAGGUUUAUCUGUGAGUCUUUGGACUGCUGUAUGGACAACAUACUCUGCAGUAGCAUGAAGAAGUGAGUGAAGACCCUCCCUUGAACCAUGUGCACUGAAAGAACAGAAGUCACAUCUUGAUAUCUCAGUGCCUUUACAGUGCCAGGGAUGGGGUACAUGCUGAGCGCCUGGUAUGUGCUCACCCUAUGCUGUACAAAACACAGAAAGCCCCACAGGGUUUGAACUGUAAUUAGGUAGAGGGUGUGUGGGACUCCCCUUGGGUCUCU